UGGGCGUGCCUCGGCGUGUCUUCUAUUACAGUAAGCGAGGAUUCAGUACGUGCCUCGGGGCGCACGGCGUGUACCGCGGUCCCAUUUAGAAUGAGUCAGCAGUCGCAGUCUGGUCAGUGACGUCAAAAACCGAGCCUCCACAUGACCAAAAAGAAGCAGUUAUUCCUAAGGUUUGCUAUGAAGUCUUCUUCUACACUCCUCUCUACGCUUCUCAAAUUUGACCCAGUGUACUCCUCAUCAAAACUAUCUGAUACAAAGGCGGCCGUUGAGUUAGCUGAACUUGAAACCACUAAACUAAGCUAGUUUAAACUUGUCCAUUCAUAAGAAGUUCAGUUGGUGCAGUUCAAUUGCACUGAACAGCUAUUGGGUCAAUCGUUGAGUUUGUCAACCAAAUUGUCAAGGUGGCAGCCACAAUGGAUUUCUGGCCUAACUUGCUUUUAAGCCUGGCUUUGAAGACAGACUGACUUUUUAACAAGAUAUUUCUUAAUUGAUUUCUUUCAUAAGUUUGUUCAUUCCCAGACCUAUUU
This is a long non-coding RNA of Spea bombifrons (plains spadefoot toad), 527 nucleotides long. RefSeq lists it as uncharacterized. The transcript has 3 exons. The record is from RefSeq and is a predicted model, not a curated record. Lineage: Eukaryota; Metazoa; Chordata; Amphibia; Anura; Pelobatidae.